This 515-nucleotide ribosomal RNA is filed under the name Methana parva. Its description in RNAcentral is "partial 16S ribosomal RNA". It matches the Rfam family "Bacterial large subunit ribosomal RNA", at positions 1826 to 2600 of the family's 2925-position model. Lineage: Eukaryota; Metazoa; Arthropoda; Insecta; Blattodea; Blattidae. The record is from RNAcentral.
CUCUUCUUGAAUUGUUUUUGAAGUAUAACCUGCCCACUGAUGAAAAAUUUUAAAGGGCCGCGGUAUUUUGACCGUGCAAAGGUAGCAUAAUCAUUAGUCUUUUAAUUGAGGACUAGAAUGAAUGGUUGGACGAGAAAUAAACUGUUUCUUAAAAUAUUUUAUUGAAUUUAAAUUUUAAGUUAAAAUGCUUAAAUUUUUUUAUGGGACGAGAAGACCCUAUAGAAUUUCAUAAAUUUUAUUAUUAUUUUGUUUUGAUAAGAUGUUAUUAUUUUUAUUUUUAUUUUGUUGGGGUGAUUGGAAGAAUUAAUAAACUCUUUUUUUUAUUUAUAUAUUUAUUUAUAAUUUUAUGAUCCAAUUUUUUUGAUUAUAAGACUAAAUUACCUUAGGGAUAACAGCGUAAUCUUUUUUGAGAGUUCUUAUCGAUAAAUGGGUUUGCGACCUCGAUGUUGGAUUAAGAUUUAAUUUGGGUGUAGCAUUUCAAUUGUUUAGGUCUGUUCGACCUUUAAAAUCUUACA